GACAAAUGUUUUGAAAUAUGCCUUUGCUCUCUUGGCCAUUUCGUUGCCAUCCCAGCGUGGACUAUACGGGUAAUUCUUCUGGGCCUGGGAGUACAGCUGCCCACUGUUAGUGAAGUGGUAGACGGACUGAAAGGUUAGGGUUGGUUGGUCUCGAGGAAAGUACAGGGGUAGGUCAAUGUGAACAAGGAAGCAAAAAUCUUUCCACAUCAGCAACAGAGUAAGCUUAGUGAAGCCUUCUGCAUCAUAUUCCACUACGCCAGUUCCAAAGUGACUCAGGAAGGCUGCGAUGUACUCUCUUCUCUUAUGGUAUCCCUGAAUAACAUAUUGUACCUUGUUUGUUAGUAACUGGCAUACUUGGGGUACAUAGUCGAUUAGACAACCUCCACCCGGAAAGGCUGGGAUGUGAAGGGCAGACGAUCCUCCAAGCGCAUGUUCAAUGCGUGGAGACAGAUACAGCUUAGGAAAAACCUGAGUAGCUUCUGCAUCCUCAAAGCUAACAGAGAGAAGUGCAACAUCUUCUCCAGGAUCUUCAUUCACAUCCUUGAGAAGAUAUGUAGGAAUAUUGCUG
This 568-nucleotide long non-coding RNA is filed under the name Gallus gallus (chicken). Lineage: Eukaryota; Metazoa; Chordata; Aves; Galliformes; Phasianidae. The record is from RNAcentral.